GCGGCAACAGCUCAAAUUUGAAAUCUGGCGUAAGCCCGAGUUGUAAUUUGUAGAGGAUGCUUCUGGGUAGCGACCGAUCUAAGUUCCUUGGAACAGGACGUCAUAGAGGGUGAGAAUCCCGUAUGUGACCGGCCCGCACCCUUUACGUAGCUCCUUCGACGAGUCGAGUUGUUUGGGAAUGCAGCUCUAAAUGGGAGGUAAAUUUCUUCUAAAGCUAAAUACCGGCCAGAGACCGAUAGCGCACAAGUAGAGUGAUCGAAAGAUGAAAAGUACUUUGGAAAGAGAGUUAAAAAGCACGUGAAAUUGUUGAAAGGGAAGCGCCUGCAACCAGACUUCGUGGCAGUGUUCCGCCGGUCUUCUGACCGGUUUAUUCUCUGUCGCGAGGCCAUCAUCGUCUAGGCCCGCCGGAUAAGACCUUAGGAAUGUAGCUCACCUUCGGGGGAGUGUUAUAGCUUAUGGUGAUGCGGCGAGGCUUGGGCGAGGUCCGCGCUUCGGCAAGGAUGAUGGCGUAAUGGUUGUCGGCGGCCCGUCUUGAAACACGGACCAAGGAGUCUAACAUCUAUGCGAGUGUUCGGGUGUCAAACCCCUACGCGUAAUGAAAGUGAACGGAGGUGGGAACCGCAAGGUGCACCAUCGACCGAUCCUGAUGUCCUCGGAUGGAUUUGAGUAAGAGCAUAGCUGUUGGGACCCGAAAGAUGGUGAACUAUGCCUGAAUAGGGUGAAGCCAGAGGAAACUCUGGUGGAGGCUCGCAGCGGUUCUGACGUGCAAAUCGAUCGUCAAAUUUGGGUAUAGGG
This 795-nucleotide ribosomal RNA is filed under the name Septoria guilanensis. Its description in RNAcentral is "Septoria sp. MB-2019c partial large subunit ribosomal RNA". It matches the Rfam family "Eukaryotic large subunit ribosomal RNA", at positions 98 to 922 of the family's 3401-position model. The record is from RNAcentral. Lineage: Eukaryota; Fungi; Ascomycota; Dothideomycetes; Mycosphaerellales; Mycosphaerellaceae. RNAcentral also lists the same sequence under 1 other name.